This is a non-coding RNA of Paramuricea clavata, 430 nucleotides long. NCBI's taxonomy places the organism in Eukaryota, Metazoa, Cnidaria, Anthozoa, Malacalcyonacea, Plexauridae. The record is from the annotation of a GenBank genome assembly.
GUAUACCUUUCUCAUCAUCUUGAAAGAUUUCUUCGUCAUCACAACCGAAGUAUCCAUCACAAGGGUUAUUUCUAUUUAUGCCUACCAGUCCACACUGAUUGUGAGGGAAACAGAAUGGAGCACACUUUCGAUACGUUGGCAUUUUAAUUUACAAGACGAAUUGUCCUGAAGAAAUUCAGUCAAGUUAGACCAACAAUUAUUCCGCUAUAAAGCCUGAAAUUUGCUCUUCAGAAUUUGACUGUGAAAUUUGAUGCUAUAUUAUUUCGAAAACUGCCACUAAUUUUUCUUCAGUUGUCGCACGCUUUAUAUUUCUGAAGCUCUGACCAAGCACAGACAGAGAUUCGAGCGUGCAAAUAUUCUCUUUAAUUUGUAUGACACGGCAAAAACAUAAGUGGGCAAGUCCAAAACAUCAGCUAACACCUGUUUCAGG